Long non-coding RNA from Erpetoichthys calabaricus (reedfish), 629 nucleotides. RefSeq lists it as uncharacterized. The transcript is spliced from 6 exons. The record is from RefSeq and is a predicted model, not a curated record. Lineage: Eukaryota; Metazoa; Chordata; Cladistia; Polypteriformes; Polypteridae.
AGCGAUGCACUUCUAAUUCAUGUGUCCACCGUUUCCACAAAGUUUGUGUGAUUCAGAGAAAAUCUUGUGUGAGAAGAAAAUACUGCCACAUUUGUAAAUACUGCAAAAAAUGCUACUACAGUACAUACAAGAAAUAUAUUUAAGGUGUCAUGAGGCAGUAUGUGCAGCACAUGAGAAGUUUCAUCCCCUGCAACCCUAUCUUUGAAGAAGAUUUCAUCUUUCCAUCAAUUUUCUUGCUGAACUGAAUGGAACUCACCAUUGCCAUUACCAUAACAGAGUAUUUUUCAGAAGCACAAGUAACACCUGUAUACACAAAUAAUAGUGGAAAUAUUUACUUCCAUGGGCCUUAUUUUUUGAGUCAGCGAAAACAUGCCCUUACUUAAAAAUGCAAAUAUGUUUAAAUUAAUCAGAGCUCAGUCUUCAUUUCUUAUGGUAUAAUUAUUUUUUAAGGCAAUUGUUAAAAUGAGUUUUUUUUUCAAGCAAAAUGCACUGUUUAAAGUUAAUAGCAAAGUUGUCUUUUAAUGUAUGUAACUAUCCCUCUAUGCUGUUGUGAAGUUGCCACUACUGAAUGAAAAAGCUUUUGUUUAAAAGUGAAAAAAAUAAAAAUAAAAAGCCACACUAGCAUCAUA